CUACGUGCCAGCAGCCGCGGUAAUACGGAAGGUCCAGGCGUUAUCCGGAUUUAUUGGGUUUAAAGGGAGCGUAGGCCGUGGAUUAAGCGUGUUGUGAAAUGUAGACGCUCAACGUCUGAAUUGCAGCGCGAACUGGUUCACUUGAGUAUGCACAACGUAGGCGGAAUUCGUCGUGUAGCGGUGAAAUGCUUAGAUAUGACGAAGAACUCCGAUUGCGAAGGCAGCUUACGGGAGCACAACUGACGCUGAAGCUCGAAGGUGCGGGUAUCAAACAGGAUUAGAUACCCUGGUAGUCCGCACAGUAAACGAUGGAUGCCCGUUGUUAGUUCACUUAAGAAUUAGCGACCAAGCGAAAGCAUUAAGCAUCCCACCUGGGGAGUACGCCGGCAACGGUGAAACUCAAAGGAAUUGACGGGGGCCCGCACAAGCGGAGGAACAUGUGGUUUAAUUCGAUGAUACGCGAGGAACCUUACCCGGGCUUGAA
RNAcentral lists this ribosomal RNA (484 nucleotides) under uncultured bacterium. RNAcentral's name for it is "bacterial SSU rRNA". It matches the Rfam family "Bacterial small subunit ribosomal RNA", at positions 501 to 985 of the family's 1533-position model. The record is from RNAcentral.